RNAcentral lists this ribosomal RNA (495 nucleotides) under uncultured Archaeospora. RNAcentral describes it as "SSU rRNA". It matches the Rfam family "Eukaryotic small subunit ribosomal RNA", at positions 591 to 1092 of the family's 1831-position model. Lineage: Eukaryota; Fungi; Glomeromycota; Glomeromycetes; Archaeosporales; Archaeosporaceae. The record is from RNAcentral.
CCAAUAGCGUAUAUUAAAGUUGUUGCAGUUAAAAAGCUCGUAGUUGAAUUUUAGACCUGGCCAGGCGGUCCGUCUUUGGCGAGUACUGUUCUGUGUCGGGCCUUUCCUUCUGGUUAACCGGCGUGCUCUUUAUUGAGUGCGCCGUGCGAGCCAGGACCAUUACCUUGAAAAAAUUAGAGUGUUUAAAGCGGGCAUUUGCUUGAAUAGAUUAGCAUGGAAUAAUAGAAUAGGACGUUGGUUCUAUUUUGUUGGUCUAGGACCACCGUAAUGAUUAAUAGGGAUAGUUGGGGGCAUUAGUAUUCAAUUGUCAGCGGUGAAAUUCUUGGAUUUAUUGAAGACUAACUAUUGCGAAAGCAUUUGCCAAGGAUGUUUUCAUUAAUCAAGAACGAAAGUUAGGGGAUCGAAGACGAUCAGAUACCGUCGUAGUCUUAACCAUAAACUAUGCCGACUAGGAAUCGGGCGACGUUAUUUUCAUGACUCGCUCGGCGCCUUAUG